UGAUUCCCAGUCUCAUUCGCCAAGCCU
This 27-nucleotide non-coding RNA is filed under the name Rattus norvegicus (Norway rat). The record is from RNAcentral. Lineage: Eukaryota; Metazoa; Chordata; Mammalia; Rodentia; Muridae.